This 253-nucleotide ribosomal RNA is filed under the name uncultured bacterium. RNAcentral's name for it is "partial 16S ribosomal RNA". It matches the Rfam family "Bacterial small subunit ribosomal RNA", at positions 524 to 776 of the family's 1533-position model. The record is from RNAcentral.
UACGGGGGGGGCAAGCGUUGUUCGGAAUUACUGGGCGUAAAGGGCUCGUAGGCGGCCAACUAAGUCGGGUGUGAAAUCCCCAGGCUCAACCUGGGAACUGCAUCCGAUACUGGAUGGCUUGAAUUCGGGAGAGGGAUGCAGAAUUCCAGGUGUAGCGGUGAAAUGCGUAGAUAUCUGGAGGAAUACCGGUGGCGAAGGCGGCAUCCUGGACCGGCAUUGACGCUGAGGAGCGAAAGCCAGGGGAGCAAACGGG